Oreochromis niloticus (Nile tilapia) is the source of this 3071-nucleotide long non-coding RNA. The record is from Ensembl. Lineage: Eukaryota; Metazoa; Chordata; Actinopteri; Cichliformes; Cichlidae.
CGAGCAUGCUGUAGGUAUUACAGGUACUACGCUGCAGUGGUCGGUAUCAUAUCUAUCUCAUGUAAAUGGAGAGUCCUCUUCAUACUCUAAGGUUAAUUAUGUUCCACAGGGUUCAGUGCUAGGACCGAUUCUGCUUACGUUAUACAUCCUUCACUUAGGCAGCACCAUCAGGGUUUACCUUACAAUAUAAAGCACCUUGAAGAGACUGUUGUUGUGAUUUGGUGCUGAAUAAAUAAAAAUGAAUUGAACUGAAUUACCAGUGAAGCAGCAGCAUUCGGCCUGUUAGAGUCAACACAAAUGUCUCCACCCACGCUCAUGUUGUGCUUUGUUAUCCUCUCAGUCCCCCAGGUGGAGGUGGAGGUGGAUUCAGGGGUUACGUCUGUGCAGCUGCCCUGCAAAAUCACACUUCAGCUGCCUGAAGACGCUAAGGUGGAGUGGAAGUGCUUACAUGACAGCAAGAUCCACAUGUAUGAGAACGCCUCUGACCACACUGAAGAACAGCACCAGGCUUACAGAAAAAGAACAAAGAUGAAUGAAGACCUGCUGAAAACUGGAGACCUCAGUCUGACCCUGAAAUACCCCACAGACUAUGACAUAGACACCUACACCUGCACCGUCUACAGCAGGGAGGGAAACAUCCUGCUGAAGAGAAAGGUGGAGCUGAAAGUCAGAGACUGUCAGUUGGAGGUGGAGGAGGGGGCGGAGUCUGUACAGCUGCCCUUCAAAACCAACGAAAACCUGCCUGAGGCUGCUAAAGUGGAGUGGUCACAUUGUGAUCCAUUAAUGUUGGCCCAUAUGUACGAGAAUGGCUCUGACCAGCCUCACAGGCUGCACCUACUAUAUAGAGACCGAGUGAAAAUACAUAAAGACCUCCUCAAAACUGGAGACCUCAGUCUGACCCUGAAACACCCCACACACAGAGACAGUGGGAGAUACAGAUGUGAUGUCUACACUAAGAACAUCUGCAUCAGAGGAAAGACAGUCCAGCUCAAAAUCAGAGGUUUGUGUGUGUGUGUGUGUGUGUGUGUGUGUGUGUGUGUGUGUGUGUGUGUGUGUCUGUGUCUGUGUCUGACCGUCUUGUGUCUCCACUGCAGGGAGAGUCCAGGACCAGGAUCAAAUAAGGGACAUCAGGAACAGAAUCCUCUGAUGGCAGAUCAAUCAGUUAGAAAAUAACCAAUGGUCUUUUUAUGGCAGCUGACUCCGGUUUACUUUGCAUUCUUAUUCUUCUCGAUCUGAGUGCUGCUUUUGACACCAUUUCUGGCUCUAUUCUUCUCAGUAGGCUAGCCUCCAUCGGUAUGUCCCAUACUCCAAUAAAUCCGACCUCCUCUUGGUAGGCACUAAAUCAACAUUAUCCAGAACCAACAGUUUCUCUGUUACUAUCAAUAACUGGCCAGUCUCGUUUCUUCCUCUGUGGAAUGUUUGGUUGUCAUCCUUGACAGUACUCUAUCUUUCAAUUCACACAUUAAUAAUGUCACUCAGUCUGCAUAUUUGCGCAACAUUAACCAUCUCUGUCCUUUUCUCACUCCACAUGCAACUGGUGUUCUUGUCCAUAGCCUUGUUACUUCCCAGAUUGAUUAUUGUAAUUUGCUUCUUUUUGGUCUUACUCAAAAAUCCAUCCACAAGCUUCAACGCAUCCAGAACUCUGCUGCCAGUAUUACCACCAGGACCCCUUCUAUCCAUCACAUCACUCCUGUCCUGCAGCAGCUUCAUUGGCUCCCAGUCAAAUAUCGUAUCAAUUUCAAAAUACUCAUACACAUUUAAGGCUAUUCAUCAAUUCUCUCCUCCAUAUCUGUCUGAUCUGGUUCAGCUGCCCAUCCCAUGUCGGUGUCUUAGAUGCUCUUCUUCCCUUUCACUCUCUGUCCCUUCCCCCCAUCUUGCCACCAUGAGCAGCAGGGCUUUCAGCUGCUCUGCUCCUCAACUCUGGAAAUCCCUACCUCCUGAUUUAAGAAAUAUCUCUUCCUUCUCUCCCUUUAUGUUCCAACUCAAAACUCACUUGUUCAAAAUAGCUUAUCCCACAUAACCUCUCCACUCUGCUAUUUUAUAUUUGUUUUAUGUCUUAUGCUUUUAUGAUUGUGUAAACUGCUGGCUUUUAUGUUGCUUUUAUUAUUCUACUGUGUACAGUGUCCUUGAGUGUUUUGAAAAGCGCUUUCAAAUAAAAUGUAUUAUCAUUAUCAUUAUUAUUAUUAUUAUUAUUAUUAUUAUUAUUAUCAUUAUUAUUAUCUGUGUGUUCUUUGAUUAUUGAUCAGCAGUGUUGGGGAAUAAUGCAAUACAUGUACCGCCGUUACGUAUUCCAUCCAUCCAUCUUCAUCCGCUUAAUCCGGGGCCGGGUCGCUGGAGGUAGCAGCCUAAGCAAAGAAGCCCAGAUCUCCCUCUCCCCAGCCACCUCCUCCAGCUUAUCUGGGGGAACACCAAGGCAUUCCCAGGCCAGAUAAAAUCUCUCUAGCGUGUCCGGGGUCUGCACCUGUCGACUAGCGGACGAACUCUCCUUUCCAGUAUCCUGGCAUGGACUUUCCCAGGGAGGCUGAGGAGUGUGAUCCCCCCUGUAGUUGGAAAACACCCCCCGGUCCCCCUUCUUGAAGAUGGGGACCAGCAACCUUGUCUGCCAGUCCAGGGGUACUGCCCCUGAUCUCCACACAACAUUGUAGAGGCGUGUCAACCAGGACAACUCUACAACAUCCAGGGCCUUCGGGAACUUGGGGUGGACCUCAUCAACACCAGGGGCUCUGCCAUCAAGGAGUUGUUUAACUGCCUCAGUGACCUUGCCCCUGGAAAUUGGCAGGUCAUUCCCCUCAUCCCCAGACUCUGCUUCCUCCUUGGAAGACGUGUCAGUGGGAUUAAGGAGGUCCUCGAAGUAUUCCUUCCACCGCCUGACAAUAUUCAAAGUCAGCAGCGCUCCGCCAGCACUAUACACAGUGCAGGUAGAGCACCGCUUUCCUGACGGUUUGCCAGAAUCUCUUCGAGGCAGUCCGAAAGUAUUUUUCCAUGGCCUCUCCAAACUCCUCCCACACCCGAGUUUUUGCUUCAGCCACUGCCCGAGCCGCAUUCUGCUUGGCCUGUCGAUACCUGUUGGC